AUUGAACGCUGGCGGCAGGCCUAACACAUGCAAGUCGAGCGGAUGAAGGGAGCUUGCUCCUGGCUUCUGCGGCGGACGGGUGAGUAAUGACUAGGAAUAUGCCUUGUCGUGGGGGAUAACGUAAGGAAGCGGGAGCGAAUACAGCACACGUUAUGAGGGUGAAAGUGGGGGAUCAUAGGACCACAAGCUACCUGAUGUGCCUAGGUCGUAUUAGCUAGUUGGUAAGGUAAAGGCUUACCAAGGCGACGAUCCGUAACUGGUCUGAGAGGAUGAUCAGCCACACUGGAACUGAGACACGGUCCAGACUCCUACGGGAGGCAGCAGUGGGGAAUCUUGGGCAAUGGGCGAAAGCCUGAUGCAGCCAUGCCGCGUGUGUGAAGAAGGUCUUCGGAUUGUAAAGCACUGUUAGUAGGGAGGAAGGGCAGUAAGUUAAUACCUGGCUGUUUUGACGGUACCUACAGAAUAAGCACCGGCUAACUUCGUG
RNAcentral lists this ribosomal RNA (484 nucleotides) under uncultured bacterium. Its description in RNAcentral is "partial 16S ribosomal RNA". It matches the Rfam family "Bacterial small subunit ribosomal RNA", at positions 30 to 507 of the family's 1533-position model. The record is from RNAcentral.